Myxocyprinus asiaticus (Chinese sucker) is the source of this 310-nucleotide long non-coding RNA. RefSeq lists it as uncharacterized. The record is from RefSeq and is a predicted model, not a curated record. Lineage: Eukaryota; Metazoa; Chordata; Actinopteri; Cypriniformes; Catostomidae. The transcript has 3 exons.
GAAUAUUCCUCAUCUCUCGUGAUGCUGGGCCUUACCCUGCAUCACUGCUGACCUGGAUCUUCUCGGAGGACGUGGCUGGUUGAACUGGGGGCUGAGCUGGUUUCCUGUCAGGGGUCAGAUCGGAAAUGUCCACACUGGAGCUCUUCAAGUUACUCCUAUAAAAAGGUCAGUGUGAACAUCAUAGGUGCUUUGUGGGGCAUUAGUAAAGGUUCGUAUGCGAGGAUAUUCCAACCUUCCAGACCGAGCCUCAUUCAUUCUCCAGCGAUAUGCCUUAAGCGCCUCCUGUCUGCACACACACAAGCAUUUUCAU